UACGUAGGGUGCAAGCGUUAAUCGGAACUACUGGGCGUAAAGGGUGCGUAGGCGGUUAUUUAAGUCUGCUGUGAAAUCCCCGGGCUCAACCUGGGAAUGGCAGUGGAUACUGGAUAGCUAGAGUGUGUCAGAGGAUGGUGGAAUUCCCGGUGUAGCGGUGAAAUGCGUAGAGAUCGGGAGGAACAUCAGUGGCGAAGGCGGCCAUCUGGGACAACACUGACGCUGAAGCACGAAAGCGUGGGGAGCAAACAGC
Molecule: ribosomal RNA, 253 nt
Filed under: uncultured bacterium
Lineage: Bacteria
Description: partial 16S ribosomal RNA
Rfam family: Bacterial small subunit ribosomal RNA
Source: RNAcentral